RNAcentral lists this unclassified non-coding RNA (653 nucleotides) under Hevea brasiliensis (rubber tree). Lineage: Eukaryota; Viridiplantae; Streptophyta; Magnoliopsida; Malpighiales; Euphorbiaceae. The record is from RNAcentral.
UCAGCCAAAGGUGUUAUACCCAAUAAACUCAGAAAGAAGACCCAUCCAUUAUGACCAUGUAAUUGGUGAAGGAGGAUUGCAAGCGGCCCAAAGGGCAUAAGCAAAUUUAGUUUAUUUGAAAAAACUACAGUCUUUAUGCUCCUAUAGACAUCUCUCCUCCAUCUCUCACUGCCACCAGCUUGAAAUCCACCUGAUACAGAUCCACAUUCAGCUAUAUGACUAGGUUGUAUCUUUUGGGUCACUAACUCUGGGCUGAAAAGACUCUCAUCCUGAAACUCAUGCACAGAUCUGUUUACAGCUACUGAUCCCAUUUCAAGUUGGGAUUGAAUUCCUACCACUUGUAACUUGCAAUCCAUCCAGUAGAAUUAUAAGCACAAAUAUUUUGCCACUUCCAUGAAUGAGCACCAGCACAUGGAGCGCUCACAGUAGUUUUCUCAAUUUCAAAGAAAAGGGUCCUUUGACAAUUGUUGAGCAGGUUUGUUCAACGAUGAAAUCCAAUGGAGCUGAAAAAACCAAAAACCCAACCCCAGCACUGCCUAACAAUCACGCAGAAGAUUUGCUCUGAUGCUUUACUUUUACCAAAAGAGAACUAAAUCAAAUGACUUUCAGCAACUGGAAUUGAAUUUGACCGUACGAUUGUUGUAAAUAUAUGG